GACGAACGCUGGCGGCGUGCUUAACACAUGCAAGUCGAACGGAAAGGCCCUGCUUUUGUGGGGUGCUCGAGUGGCGAACGGGUGAGUAACACGUGAGUAACCUGCCCUUGACUUUGGGAUAACUUCAGGAAACUGGGGCUAAUACCGGAUAGGAGCUCCUGCUGCAUGGUGGGGGUUGGAAAGUUUCGGCGGUUGGGGAUGGACUCGCGGCUUAUCAGCUUGUUGGUGGGGUAGUGGCUUACCAAGGCUUUGACGGGUAGCCGGCCUGAGAGGGUGACCGGCCACAUUGGGACUGAGAUACGGCCCAGACUCCUACGGGAGGCAGCAGUGGGGAAUAUUGCACAAUGGGCGGAAGCCUGAUGCGGCAACGCCGCGUGCGGGAUGACGGCCUUCGGGUUGUAAACCGCUUUCGCCUGUGACGAAGCGUGAGUGACGGUAAUGGGUAGAGAAGCACCGGCUAACUACGUG
Molecule: ribosomal RNA, 468 nt
Filed under: uncultured bacterium
Lineage: Bacteria
Description: partial 16S ribosomal RNA
Rfam family: Bacterial small subunit ribosomal RNA
Source: RNAcentral